AGUGCAGCACUCGAAAGGGAUAAACAGUGAUAUUGUUUAGGUUGUAGAUUCUUCAUCUACCUGUGCUA
Molecule: transfer RNA, 68 nt
Filed under: Curtonida isos
Lineage: Eukaryota; Metazoa; Arthropoda; Malacostraca; Decapoda; Munididae
Description: Munida isos tRNA-Ile
Source: RNAcentral